RNAcentral lists this ribosomal RNA (408 nucleotides) under uncultured bacterium. RNAcentral describes it as "partial 16S ribosomal RNA". It matches the Rfam family "Bacterial small subunit ribosomal RNA", at positions 28 to 526 of the family's 1533-position model. The record is from RNAcentral.
GACGAACGCUGGCGGCGUGCUUAACACAUGCAAGUCGAACGAAGUGGCGACCGGGUGAGUAACGCGUCAUCAACCUGCCCUUCAGAGGGGGACAACAGUUGGAAACGACUGCUACUACCGCAUACGGAAGGAGGGGAUUGCGUCUGAUUAGCCAGUUGGAGGGGUAACGGCCCCCCAAGGCGAUGAUCAGUAGCCGGUCUUAGAGGAUGAACCGCCACAUUGGGACUGAGACACGGCCCAGACGCCUACGGGAGGCAGCAGUGGGGAAUCGUCCGCAAUGGACGAAAGUCUGACGGUGCAACGCCGCGUGAGUGAUGACGGCCUUCGGGUUGUAAAGCUCUGUUAAUCGGGACGCGGUACCGGAAUAGAAAGCCACGGCUAACUACGUGCCAGCAGCCGCGGUAAUUC